AAAAAAAAGUAUUGUGUUUGUGCUUUGAAUUAGGUGGCUUUCCAUUGCAGAAGAGUUCAGAUAGAUUUCUUGGUUGAAUCAUUUGCUUUGGCAAGUGUAAUGUUCUGAAUUCUGAUAUCAUGCUGUCCUAAGCGAUCUAAGGCUUCACAUCCUCCACUAUUAGGACAUAAGGACAUGAAUUGAUUCAGUCGUUAUUUAAUAAUAUAUGGUAACACCCUAAGAAAGGGCAACCAAUCCUCUUUGUUUUCAAUGCAUCUGUACAUCUGGACAUGUUCGAAUUAUAUAUGCCUCCUAGUUGUGAUUUUUGAUGUAUAAGAUCCUGUGCCAUGUAGAAUGUUUGAUGUUAAGAGGAAUUG
Molecule: unclassified non-coding RNA, 356 nt
Filed under: Hevea brasiliensis (rubber tree)
Lineage: Eukaryota; Viridiplantae; Streptophyta; Magnoliopsida; Malpighiales; Euphorbiaceae
Source: RNAcentral